AUGCCUAAUACAUGCAAGUCGAACGAGAUCUUCGGAUCUAGUGGCGCACGGGUGCGUAACGCGUGGGAAUCUGCCCUUGGGUUCGGAAUAACAUCUGGAAACGGAUGCUAAUACCGGAUGAUGACGUAAGUCCAAAGAUUUAUCGCCCAAGGAUGAGCCCGCGUAGGAUUAGCUAGUUGGUGAGGUAAAGGCUCACCAAGGCUACGAUCCUUAGCUGGUCUGAGAGGAUGAUCAGCCACACUGGGACUGAGACACGGCCCAGACUCCUACGGGAGGCAGCAGUAGGGAAUAUUGGACAAUGGGGGCAACCCUGAUCCAGCAAUGCCGCGUGAGUGAUGAAGGCCUUAGGGUUGUAAAGCUCUUUUACCCGAGAUGAUAAUGACAGUAUCGGGAGAAUAAGCUCCGGCUAACUCCGUGCCAGCAGCCGCGGUAAUACGGAGGGAGCUAGCGUUGUUCGGAAUUACUGGGCGUAAAGCGCACGUAGGCGGUUAUUUAAGUCAGAGGUGAAAGCCCGGGGCUCAACCCCGGAACUGCCUUUGAGACUGGAUAACUUGAAUCCAGGAGAGGUGAGUGGAAUUCCGAGUGUAGAGGUGAAAUUCGUAGAUAUUCGGAAGAACACCAGUGGCGAAGGCGGCUCACUGGACUGGUAUUGACGCUGAGGUGC
RNAcentral lists this ribosomal RNA (664 nucleotides) under uncultured Alphaproteobacteria bacterium. RNAcentral describes it as "bacterial SSU rRNA". It matches the Rfam family "Bacterial small subunit ribosomal RNA", at positions 44 to 754 of the family's 1533-position model. Lineage: Bacteria; Pseudomonadati; Pseudomonadota; Alphaproteobacteria. The record is from RNAcentral.